CACCAAUACUGCCAAUGGCUUCGGCAUGUAACAAUGAAAAAGGCAAUAUGAGAGCUGUAGGAGACUUAUAAAAUGCUGUAGAUGAUCUGCAUAUUGCACAGAAUCAUCUAAAAUGCUGUAGGAGACAUGUUGUGCAUAUAAUUUGCACCCAAGGCGUCACCAUUCUGCUUACAGACAAAUUUUAUUAUUAUUUUGAGGCUAUUUAUUUUUUUU
Molecule: unclassified non-coding RNA, 213 nt
Filed under: Hevea brasiliensis (rubber tree)
Lineage: Eukaryota; Viridiplantae; Streptophyta; Magnoliopsida; Malpighiales; Euphorbiaceae
Source: RNAcentral